Molecule: transfer RNA, 70 nt
Filed under: Ovis aries (sheep)
Lineage: Eukaryota; Metazoa; Chordata; Mammalia; Artiodactyla; Bovidae
Rfam family: tRNA
About the family: Transfer RNA (tRNA) molecules are approximately 80 nucleotides in length. Their secondary structure includes four short double-helical elements and three loops (D, anti-codon, and T loops).
Source: Rfam by way of RNAcentral
UCCCCUGUGGCUCAGAUGGUAGAGUCUGCCUGCUAAGCAGGAGACCCAGAUUUGAUUCCUGGGUGGGGAA